UCCCUCCUGGCUCAGAUGGUAAAGAAUCUGUCUGCAAUGCAGGAGACCCAGGUUUGAACCCUGGGUCGGGAA
This is a non-coding RNA of Bos taurus (domestic cattle), 72 nucleotides long. The record is from Rfam. NCBI's taxonomy places the organism in Eukaryota, Metazoa, Chordata, Mammalia, Artiodactyla, Bovidae.